RNAcentral lists this ribosomal RNA (524 nucleotides) under Hafnia sp. Its description in RNAcentral is "bacterial SSU rRNA". It matches the Rfam family "Bacterial small subunit ribosomal RNA", at positions 67 to 580 of the family's 1533-position model. Lineage: Bacteria; Pseudomonadati; Pseudomonadota; Gammaproteobacteria; Enterobacterales; Hafniaceae. The record is from RNAcentral.
CGGUAGCACAAGAGAGCUUGCUCUCUGGGUGACGAGCGGCGGACGGGUGAGUAAUGUCUGGGAAACUGCCUGAUGGAGGGGGAUAACUACUGGAAACGGUAGCUAAUACCGCAUGACGUCUUCGGACCAAAGUGGGGGACCUUCGGGCCUCACGCCAUCAGAUGUGCCCAGAUGGGAUUAGCUAGUAGGUGGGGUAAUGGCUCACCUAGGCGACGAUCUCUAGCUGGUCUGAGAGGAUGACCAGCCACACUGGAACUGAGACACGGUCCAGACUCCUACGGGAGGCAGCAGUGGGGAAUAUUGCACAAUGGGCGCAAGCCUGAUGCAGCCAUGCCGCGUGUAUGAAGAAGGCCUUCGGGUUGUAAAGUACUUUCAGCGAGGAGGAAGGCAUUAAGGUUAAUAACCUUGGUGAUUGACGUUACUCGCAGAAGAAGCACCGGCUAACUCCGUGCCAGCAGCCGCGGUAAUACGGAGGGUGCAAGCGUUAAUCGGAAUUACUGGGCGUAAAGCGCACGCAGGCGGUU